UACGUAGGGGGCGAGCGUUGUCCGGAUUUACUGGGCGUAAAGGGAGCGUAGGCGGACUUUUAAGUGAGAUGUGAAAUACCCGGGCUCAACUUGGGUGCUGCAUUUCAAACUGGAAGUCUAGAGUGCAGGAGAGGAGAAUGGAAUUCCUAGUGUAGCGGUGAAAUGCGUAGAGAUUAGGAAGAACACCAGUGGCGAAGGCGAUUCUCUGGACGAUAACUGACGCUGAGGCGCGAAAGCGUGGGUAGCAAACAGGAUUAGAUACCCU
This 265-nucleotide ribosomal RNA is filed under the name uncultured prokaryote. RNAcentral describes it as "partial 16S ribosomal RNA". It matches the Rfam family "Bacterial small subunit ribosomal RNA", at positions 524 to 788 of the family's 1533-position model. The record is from RNAcentral.